Molecule: ribosomal RNA, 1226 nt
Filed under: Enterococcus faecium
Lineage: Bacteria; Bacillati; Bacillota; Bacilli; Lactobacillales; Enterococcaceae
Description: bacterial SSU rRNA
Rfam family: Bacterial small subunit ribosomal RNA
Source: RNAcentral
GCUUUCGGGUGUCGCUGAUGGAUGGACCCGCGGUGCAUUAGCUAGUUGGUGAGGUAACGGCUCACCAAGGCCACGAUGCAUAGCCGACCUGAGAGGGUGAUCGGCCACAUUGGGACUGAGACACGGCCCAAACUCCUACGGGAGGCAGCAGUAGGGAAUCUUCGGCAAUGGACGAAAGUCUGACCGAGCAACGCCGCGUGAGUGAAGAAGGUUUUCGGAUCGUAAAACUCUGUUGUUAGAGAAGAACAAGGAUGAGAGUAACUGUUCAUCCCUUGACGGUAUCUAACCAGAAAGCCACGGCUAACUACGUGCCAGCAGCCGCGGUAAUACGUAGGUGGCAAGCGUUGUCCGGAUUUAUUGGGCGUAAAGCGAGCGCAGGCGGUUUCUUAAGUCUGAUGUGAAAGCCCCCGGCUCAACCGGGGAGGGUCAUUGGAAACUGGGAGACUUGAGUGCAGAAGAGGAGAGUGGAAUUCCAUGUGUAGCGGUGAAAUGCGUAGAUAUAUGGAGGAACACCAGUGGCGAAGGCGGCUCUCUGGUCUGUAACUGACGCUGAGGCUCGAAAGCGUGGGGAGCAAACAGGAUUAGAUACCCUGGUAGUCCACGCCGUAAACGAUGAGUGCUAAGUGUUGGAGGGUUUCCGCCCUUCAGUGCUGCAGCUAACGCAUUAAGCACUCCGCCUGGGGAGUACGACCGCAAGGUUGAAACUCAAAGGAAUUGACGGGGGCCCGCACAAGCGGUGGAGCAUGUGGUUUAAUUCGAAGCAACGCGAAGAACCUUACCAGGUCUUGACAUCCUUUGACCACUCUAGAGAUAGAGCUUCCCCUUCGGGGGCAAAGUGACAGGUGGUGCAUGGUUGUCGUCAGCUCGUGUCGUGAGAUGUUGGGUUAAGUCCCGCAACGAGCGCAACCCUUAUUGUUAGUUGCCAUCAUUCAGUUGGGCACUCUAGCAAGACUGCCGGUGACAAACCGGAGGAAGGUGGGGAUGACGUCAAAUCAUCAUGCCCCUUAUGACCUGGGCUACACACGUGCUACAAUGGGAAGUACAACGAGUUGCGAAGUCGCGAGGCUAAGCUAAUCUCUUAAAGCUUCUCUCAGUUCGGAUUGCAGGCUGCAACUCGCCUGCAUGAAGCCGGAAUCGCUAGUAAUCGCGGAUCAGCACGCCGCGGUGAAUACGUUCCCGGGCCUUGUACACACCGCCCGUCACACCACGAGAGUUUGUAACACCCG